RNAcentral lists this transfer RNA (65 nucleotides) under Polydora cf. ciliata DS-2023. RNAcentral describes it as "tRNA-Gln". Lineage: Eukaryota; Metazoa; Annelida; Polychaeta; Spionida; Spionidae. The record is from RNAcentral.
UAUGGCCUAGUGUAUUCGCACGCGGACCUUUGACAUCCGAAGUAUAGGUAAACCUAUGGCUAUAA